RNAcentral lists this transfer RNA (88 nucleotides) under Candidatus Brevefilum sp. RNAcentral describes it as "tRNA-Ser". It matches the Rfam family "tRNA". From Rfam's summary of the family: Transfer RNA (tRNA) molecules are approximately 80 nucleotides in length. Their secondary structure includes four short double-helical elements and three loops (D, anti-codon, and T loops). The record is from RNAcentral. RNAcentral also lists the same sequence under 3 other names. Lineage: Bacteria; Bacillati; Chloroflexota; Anaerolineae; Anaerolineales; Anaerolineaceae.
GGAGAGGUGCCGGAGUGGACGAUCGGGGCGGUCUCGAAAACCGUUGUAGCCCUUGGGGCUACCGAGGGUUCGAAUCCCUCCCUCUCCG